RNAcentral lists this ribosomal RNA (488 nucleotides) under uncultured bacterium. Its description in RNAcentral is "bacterial SSU rRNA". It matches the Rfam family "Bacterial small subunit ribosomal RNA", at positions 28 to 507 of the family's 1533-position model. The record is from RNAcentral.
GAUGAACGCUAGCGAUAGGCCUAACACAUGCAAGUCGAGGGGCAUCACAUGAAGUAGCAAUACGGAUGGUGGCGACCGGCGCACGGGUGAGUAACACGUAUGCAACCUGCCUUCAACAAGGGGAUAACCCGUUGAAAGACGGACUAAUACCCUAUAACACAGGGGUCCCGCAUGGGGAUAUUUGUUAAAGGACAACCGGUUGAAGAUGGGCAUGCGUUCCAUUAGCUAGUUGGCGGGUAAGGGCCCACCAAGGCAACGAUGGAUAGGGGAACUGAGAGGUUUAUCCCCCACACUGGUACUGAGACACGGACCAGACUCCUACGGGAGGCAGCAGUGAGGAAUAUUGGUCAAUGGACGCAAGUCUGAACCAGCCACGUCGCGUGAAGGAAGACGGCCCUACGGGUUGUAAACUUCUUUUGAAGGGAAUAAAGUGUAGUACGCGUACUAUUUUGCAUGUACCUUACGAAUAAGGAUCGGCUAACUCCGUG